GCGUGGUGUCCGGUGCGCCCCCGGCGGCCC
Molecule: small nuclear RNA, 30 nt
Filed under: Arabidopsis thaliana (thale cress)
Lineage: Eukaryota; Viridiplantae; Streptophyta; Magnoliopsida; Brassicales; Brassicaceae
Also listed under: 1 other name
Description: snRNA_08147
Source: RNAcentral